Molecule: ribosomal RNA, 237 nt
Filed under: Triticum aestivum (bread wheat)
Lineage: Eukaryota; Viridiplantae; Streptophyta; Magnoliopsida; Poales; Poaceae
Description: partial small subunit ribosomal RNA
Source: RNAcentral
AUGUCUCUCAACGCCCUGGAGCUGGUGUGCUGGAAUGUUCGAGGUCUCAACAAUCCAGCAAAAAGGAAGGCGCUUAGAGGAUUUGUAGAAUCUGGUCACGCGGCGAUUGUCUGUAUCUUAGAAACUAAAUUAGAGGUGGUGGACACUUUUGUAAUCUUGCAAUGCAUGGGGCCGAACUAUGAUGGUUUCACUUAUUUGCCGGCGUCGGACACUAGAGGUGGUAUCCUUGUGGCUUGG